This is a small nucleolar RNA of Lemur catta (Ring-tailed lemur), 103 nucleotides long. RefSeq annotates it as small nucleolar RNA U13. The transcript has a single exon. Lineage: Eukaryota; Metazoa; Chordata; Mammalia; Primates; Lemuridae. The record is from RefSeq and is a predicted model, not a curated record.
AUCCUUUUGUAGUUCAUAAGCAUGAUGAUUGGGUUUUCAUGCACAUGCUGAGAUGUGCCUCCCUCAAUCCUUGUUACCACGUUGGCACAUUACCCAUCCAAUG